This is a small nuclear RNA of Nycticebus coucang (slow loris), 109 nucleotides long. NCBI's taxonomy places the organism in Eukaryota, Metazoa, Chordata, Mammalia, Primates, Lorisidae. The record is from RefSeq and is a predicted model, not a curated record.
GUGCUCACUUUAGCAGCACAUAUACUAAAAAAAUUGGAAUAAUCAGAGAAAAUUAGCAUGGCUCCUGCAGAAGGAUGACAUGCAAAGUCAUGAAGCAGUCCAUAUUUUU